Molecule: long non-coding RNA, 423 nt
Organism: Amphibalanus amphitrite
Lineage: Eukaryota; Metazoa; Arthropoda; Thecostraca; Balanomorpha; Balanidae
Exons: 3
Source: RefSeq, a predicted model, not a curated record
CUUCUUCUGCUUCGCCGAGCCGCAGUCUGCCAGUCAUGAUGUGACGUCAGGCGACCGGUCGGCUCGGACGGAGGUCGAGAGCUACCUCCGCGAGCCAGGACCGCACUCAGCCACCUCACCACCAUCCUGGCGUACUGGGCGUCACCGACCACGAAAGCCCAGUUCCCGCGGCUGUGCCGCGUCGCAAGGCGUCUCCUGGCUGUGCCAGCGUCUAGCACACCGUCAGAGAGAGCCUUCUCUGUCGCCGGACGCGUGGUGGAGGACAGGAGGACGAGGCUGCUACCGUCAUCCGUGGAUGAUAUCCUCUUCCUCCAUGGUGUGCAGUGUGCACCGACGUGAAACGUGAGAGCCAAACCUGAGCCGCUGCUGGAAGCAGAGCAGAGUGCAGACCCAGUUUCAACGUUGUAGAGUACCGGAUCGACG